This 329-nucleotide ribosomal RNA is filed under the name uncultured eukaryote. Its description in RNAcentral is "partial 18S ribosomal RNA". It matches the Rfam family "Eukaryotic small subunit ribosomal RNA", at positions 1470 to 1796 of the family's 1831-position model. The record is from RNAcentral.
CCCUUAGAUGUUCUGGGCCGCACGCGUGUUACACUGAUGCGUUCAUCAAGCACCACACCUUGGCUCGAGAGGCCUGGGUAAUCUUGAAAUCGCAUCGUGCUGGGGAUAGAUUAUUGUAAUUUUUAAUCUUCAACGAGGAAUUUCUAGUAGGCGUUUGUCAUCAACAAGCACCGAUUACGUCCCUGUCCUUUGUACACACCGCCCGUCGCUACUACCGAUUGGAUCAUUUGGUGAGGCCCGCGGACUGUUGUGCUUUCUUCCUCGCGUUGAUUGCACUUCUUGGGAAGCGGUACGAACCUGAUGAUCUAGAGGAAGUAAAAGUCGUAACA